RNAcentral lists this ribosomal RNA (465 nucleotides) under Vreelandella stevensii. Its description in RNAcentral is "partial 16S ribosomal RNA". It matches the Rfam family "Bacterial small subunit ribosomal RNA", at positions 338 to 795 of the family's 1533-position model. Lineage: Bacteria; Pseudomonadati; Pseudomonadota; Gammaproteobacteria; Oceanospirillales; Halomonadaceae. The record is from RNAcentral.
CCUACGGGGGGCUGCAGUGGGGAAUAUUGGACAAUGGGGGCAACCCUGAUCCAGCCAUGCCGCGUGUGUGAAGAAGGCCCUCGGGUUGUAAAGCACUUUCAGUGAGGAAGAACGCCUGGUGGUUAAUACCCAUCAGGAAAGACAUCACUCACAGAAGAAGCACCGGCUAACUCCGUGCCAGCAGCCGCGGUAAUACGGAGGGUGCGAGCGUUAAUCGGAAUUACUGGGCGUAAAGCGCGCGUAGGUGGCUUGAUAAGCCGGUUGUGAAAGCCCCGGGCUCAACCUGGGAACGGCAUCCGGAACUGUCAAGCUAGAGUGCAGGAGAGGAAGGUAGAAUUCCCGGUGUAGCGGUGAAAUGCGUAGAGAUCGGGAGGAAUACCAGUGGCGAAGGCGACCUUCUGGACUGACACUGACACUGAGGUGCGAAAGCGUGGGUAGCAAACAGGAUUAGAUACCCGAGUAGUC